This 73-nucleotide transfer RNA is filed under the name Nanobdellota archaeon. RNAcentral describes it as "tRNA-Thr". It matches the Rfam family "tRNA". Rfam says of the family: Transfer RNA (tRNA) molecules are approximately 80 nucleotides in length. Their secondary structure includes four short double-helical elements and three loops (D, anti-codon, and T loops). Lineage: Archaea; Nanobdellati; Nanobdellota. The record is from RNAcentral.
GCCUCUGUAGCAUAGCGGCUAAUGCGUCUGCCUCGUAAGCAGAAGAUCGGGAGUUCAAUUCUCCCCAGAGGCU